GUGAGGAAUAUUGGUCAAUGGGCGGGAGCCUGAACCAGCCAAGUCGCGUGAAGGAAGAAGGAUCUAUGGUUCGUAAACUUCUUUUGCAGGGGAAUAAAGUGCAGGACGUGUCCUGUUUUGUAUGUACCCUGAGAAUAAGGAUCGGCUAACUCCGUGCCAGCAGCCGCGGUAAUACGGAGGAUCCGAGCGUUAUCCGGAUUUAUUGGGUUUAAAGGGUGCGUAGGUGGUUUGAUAAGUCAGCGGUGAAAGUUUGCAGCUUAACUGUAAAAAUGCCGUUGAAACUGUCUGACUUGAGUGUAAAUGAGGUAGGCGGAAUGCGUGGUGUAGCGGUGAAAUGCAUAGAUAUCACGCAGAACUCCGAUUGCGAAGGCAGCUUACUAAGCUACAACUGACACUGAAGCACGAAAGCGUGGGGAUCAAACAGGAUUAGAAACCCUUGUAGUCC
This 445-nucleotide ribosomal RNA is filed under the name uncultured bacterium. RNAcentral's name for it is "partial 16S ribosomal RNA". It matches the Rfam family "Bacterial small subunit ribosomal RNA", at positions 354 to 796 of the family's 1533-position model. The record is from RNAcentral.